Non-coding RNA from Parelaphostrongylus tenuis, 74 nucleotides. The record is from the annotation of a GenBank genome assembly. Lineage: Eukaryota; Metazoa; Nematoda; Chromadorea; Rhabditida; Metastrongylidae.
GCCUCGGUCGUGCAGCGGUAGUUGCGCGCGUUUCAGGUAUGGAUGAAAGGCGGGUUCGAUUUCCGCCUGGGGCU